CUGAACAGAAGCCAAAGUUAGAAGCGCUAGAGAAAGUUUUGUGAUAAUAGUUUCAAUUUGUUUCUCUUUAGAGGUUUUCCUCGGGGCCGGUUCCUCUCUCAGCACACAGCAGACUGCAGGAGAGACGUGUGAGAAGAAAGAGAGCGCGAGAAGGUUAUGAUGUAACGUUGGACCCAGUAAACGGGGGGAUGUGGUGUAUGGGGUUAACUUGUGACAACAUAGAUCUGGAGGUCAGUCGGUUGAAAUACUGUUUCCCAAAGUCAUCAGCUUGAAGAACUUACGG
RNAcentral lists this long non-coding RNA (283 nucleotides) under Salmo salar (Atlantic salmon). Its description in RNAcentral is "lncRNA (ENSSSAG00000094174.1)". The record is from RNAcentral. Lineage: Eukaryota; Metazoa; Chordata; Actinopteri; Salmoniformes; Salmonidae.